This is an RNA transcript of Mercenaria mercenaria, 2354 nucleotides long. It is a transcript of the gene named transcription intermediary factor 1-alpha-like, with no coding region annotated. Lineage: Eukaryota; Metazoa; Mollusca; Bivalvia; Venerida; Veneridae. The record is from RefSeq and is a predicted model, not a curated record. The transcript has 6 exons.
GAACAUUACAGUUUUAUAAAUCAGUGUAUUUAAAUGUGCAUAUACAAGUUACAAGAAGCCUGUAAAUUCCAAAGUUUCUAAACUAACAUGUCAAUGGAGGUUGCUGGAAGAAUGUUCUGUAAGCCUUGUGGAGAUGACACUAAACGUGUACCUGCAAACGGUCUAUGUCGCGAAUGUGAGGAACAUAUGUGUAUAGCGUGUUUCGGAAACCAUAAAAAAUACAAAAUAUGUAAAGACCACAGAUGGGUUGAUAUUGAUACAAACGUUCCAGACAUUAGUGAGACAAUUGAAGAAAAGUUCGAAAAUUGUCUGAAGCACAAAAAUGAAAAAACAAAAUUUUAUUGUUCAAACAACGAAGAAGUAGGCUGUGGUGACUGUACGAUAUUAGAACACAAUACGUGUAAAGUUGAAUAUAUAAGUGAUAUAUCGAAAACGUUUAAGAACAGUAAGGAACUUAACGACUUUGUCAAAAAUGUUGAUUCUUGUCAGAAAGAAGUGACCAAAUUCUACACAUCACUCACUGAUAAUAAGGUACAGGUUGAAGAUAUAUAUCAGGGAUUUCUUGCCGAUAUUAAAUCAUACCGAGAUGAAAUAAAUAUCCGUUUAGACAAACUGGAAGAACGAUUGGUUCAAAAGGCAAAAGAUGCUAAAACAACCGAUAGACUUUUCAUUGAUUCACUUGAAACAUCAUGCGAAGAUCUAAAAAAAGAGUUAUCGCAAAUAAGUGAUGAACUUGUGUCUAGAACUGACGAACCAAACACAUUAUUUGUCACUGCAAUGCGGUGUAAGCGUGUGUUAAAGGGAAUCAAGCAUAAACUCUGUAGUGCCAUUCCAAAUAACAUAGUUAGCAAUUACCGUUUCAAAAGGAACAAUAAAAUUGAAGAGCUAUUGGAACAGGCCGAGCUUGGGACUAUAGUUUCAAUGCACGAAGAAAACACACCGGAACCGGAUUCUCUAGAUUACGAGGAUCCUAUUUCUUUACAUGUAGAACUGAGAACCAGCAACAGAACAAUAUACGAAGACAAUAUAUCAAUACCAGAUUCACAAGAGUAUAAGGAGGUAUUUGAAGAUAUUCCAGUGAGAGAAAGUCCCCAUAAAAGAAGAUCAAAAAGCCGAACGUCUUGGUCCUUAUUUGUGUGAAAACAUUUUUAUGGCUAGAGAGUACCUCAGUUUCAAAGACAUCAGACAAGGAGAUAUUGGCUUAUACAUUGGGAAAGACCAUUAAAACUGGCACGAACUUUGAAGUUGGGAUAAUAAACAGCGACGACAGAGGCAAUAUUGGUACGCGUACUAGAACUAAACAAUCCGCCCUUUUGCAAAAUGUACCCAGCAAUGAGAUUAAAAGCUUCCGGUUACAAAGCAAGAGUAAUACUUGACGCGACAGAACCAUAACAAAGGACAUAUAAUGCAAGUUGUGUGAAAUAUAACCAAUUUCCAGAGACAGGGAGGAAUUCGGCUGAAGUUGAAGUAUAUGAUUGUGCCAAAGUGAUGUGAAGAACUAAUGCUUAUUUCAUGUAGAUACAGCUUGACUGUAUUAUCAAAAAUUAUUUUUGUUAAAGUCAUAGACAUGUGUUGCACACAGAUUGAAAUAUCCAGCUUAUAUAUUCACAUGUCAUGUCACCUAUAUUUAUACACUUUGUAAAAAAGUCAACAUUUUUGGUUCGUUUUUAAAGAUAUCCUGUGGCUAAAAUAAUAUAUUUAGAUAUUGACUUCAAAUGUAGAGUCCUCAUCAAAUAUAUAUAACUUUACAAAAUAUAUAAAUUAAUAUAUAAAUUAAUUGGUUAUGUAGAGCUUCAUUUUAGUGGUACAUCACAUUUAUACUGUGUUCCGCUAUAUAUGUAAACAGUAUGUACUAUUUUCAACCUAAUUCAUAGCACUGUUAAUAUACAUAAACUUGGCUAUUUUAUGUUUACAUAAAGUAUACAUAGAAUUUUUGCUCAUGUUUUCAAAUAUGAUAUUUGGGUCAAGUAUAUCUUUAACAUUCCUUAUUUGUAUUUGAUUCAUAGAGGAUAUUCAAGUUGUUUUUCAUGAAUGAAGUUUUAUCACAAUUUUCAUUUACCAAUAUGACAGCUCCUAAAUUUGAUGUGUGUAAAUUUGACAUGGCAACUGGAGAAUUACAAUUUGGGUAAUGCGUAUAAAUUGAAUUAUUUCUAGCGCCAAUUCUUUAUGUUCAUGCGUAUAAAUUGCACUAUUGCAAGUGCGCAAUUACUAGUUACAAAUAGCAUUGAAUUUCACUGAAAAUUAAAAAUAUCUGUUUCGAACUUUUUAUUUCUUUCUAUCGUAUUUCUAUAUUAGUUGUUUCCAAUGUGUUAUUUCUUUUCAUUCUAAUUACGUAUUUAACUUGCAAAAUAGAC